RNAcentral lists this RNase P RNA (335 nucleotides) under Methylophilus aquaticus. Its description in RNAcentral is "RNase P RNA component class A". It matches the Rfam family "Bacterial RNase P class A". From Rfam's summary of the family: Ribonuclease P (RNase P) is a ubiquitous endoribonuclease, found in archaea, bacteria and eukarya as well as chloroplasts and mitochondria. Its best characterised activity is the generation of mature 5'-ends of tRNAs by cleaving the 5'-leader elements of precursor-tRNAs. Cellular RNase Ps are ribonucleoproteins. The record is from RNAcentral. Lineage: Bacteria; Pseudomonadati; Pseudomonadota; Betaproteobacteria; Nitrosomonadales; Methylophilaceae.
GAAGCCAACCAGACAGUCGCCGCUUAGCGCAAGUUAAGGGGAGGAAAGUCCGGGCUGCACAGAGCGGGAUGACGGCUAACGGCCGUACGCUGAAAGCUGGAAACAGUAUAAGGUGAGGAAUAGGGCCACAGAGACGAGCGUAUUAAGUUACGGUGAAACGCGGUAACCUCCAUUCGCAGCAAUAUCAAAUAGGCUGGCAUUUGUCGCAAGACAUAAGGCGUGGCUCGCGCUGCCAGCGGGUAGAUAGCUUGAGCGUGUGAGCAAUUACACGCCUAGAUGAAUGACUGUCGCCACGCAAGUGGAUACAGAACCCGGCUUACCGGUUGGCUUCAAUU